AUACGUAGGUGGCAAGCGUUAUCCGGAAUUAUUGGGCGUAAAGGGUGCGUCAGUCGGCUAAUUAAGUUUGUGGUGAAAGUGCGGGGCUUAACUCCGUAUAGCCAUGAAAACUGGUAAGCUAGAGUGCAGAAGAGGGUAGUGGAAUUCCAUGUGUAGCGGUAAAAUGCGUAGAUAUAUGGAGGAACACCAGUGGCGAAGGCGGCUACCUGGUCUGUAGCUGACGAUGAGGCACGAAAGCGUGGGGAGC
This 247-nucleotide ribosomal RNA is filed under the name uncultured bacterium. RNAcentral describes it as "partial 16S ribosomal RNA". It matches the Rfam family "Bacterial small subunit ribosomal RNA", at positions 523 to 769 of the family's 1533-position model. The record is from RNAcentral.